Molecule: transfer RNA, 113 nt
Filed under: Aspergillus avenaceus
Lineage: Eukaryota; Fungi; Ascomycota; Eurotiomycetes; Eurotiales; Aspergillaceae
Rfam family: tRNA
About the family: Transfer RNA (tRNA) molecules are approximately 80 nucleotides in length. Their secondary structure includes four short double-helical elements and three loops (D, anti-codon, and T loops).
Source: Rfam by way of RNAcentral
GGCAAGGUGGCCGAGCGGUCUAAGGCGCACGGUUCAGGUUUACCUGACCCAUCAGAAGUUAUAUAACUUUCCGUGUCAUGAAAAUGGCGUGGGUUCGAAUCCCACCCUUGUCA